Macadamia integrifolia is the source of this 3891-nucleotide RNA transcript. It is a transcript of the gene named pentatricopeptide repeat-containing protein At2g03380, mitochondrial, with no coding region annotated. The transcript has 3 exons. NCBI's taxonomy places the organism in Eukaryota, Viridiplantae, Streptophyta, Magnoliopsida, Proteales, Proteaceae. The record is from RefSeq and is a predicted model, not a curated record.
AAACGCAAAACCCAUCGCCAUUCCUGAAAAACCCUCUAGCGACUGCCUUCUUCAUCUUCUCCGUCUCUGUUCCCGUUUGAGCUCAGUGGUGGCCGGGCGAGUCUUCCUCUAAGGCUCAAGCUCAAUAUCCACUUCUCCGUAUCCGUUCCAGAUUAAUUGCAGCGGCAUUAUUCAUCCAAAAAAAAAUAAAUAAAUAAAUUGCAGCGACGAUUGCAUACUGUUCCAAGGCGAUAAUUUGGCCAGCGAUUGCACACUGUUUCUCUUCUUCUUCUCCGUCUCCGUUCGGCCAGAUAUUGUAGCGGCGCGAAUGCAUCCGAGGUUAUUGAACCCCUGCCCCCUUCUUCUUCACCGUCUCUAUUCGGCCAGCAAGUUUCUCUCUUCUCCGUCUCCAUCUUGUGCAGUGACUUGAAUGGGGUCAGGGGGAGUUGUGGCCUUGUGGGAGCUUAUGAUCAUAAAAAAGGAAUAGAGCCACAGAUGAGGAAAAGAUGAAACUCAUCGGUCUAUUGCAGAGACAUGGCCUUCGCUUCCAGAAAUCUCAUCUUCAUUGGAGGUCUUUGUUUACCAACUCUACCUUCGAACAACAACUAGAAACUCUCGAUAUCAAUCAAACCAUUGCUUCAGUUCAUGCCAUCUCUUCGAACCCCUGUUUUUCUCUGUUGGGUCUCUGCAACACCAUUGGUUCUCUCAAGAAAAUCCAUAGCUUGCUCAUCAUCCAUGGUCUAACAGAUGACCUUCUCUGCCAAACCAAAUUAGUUAGCUUGUAUGGUUUCUUCGGGGAUGUCAAGUGCGCCCGCUUUGUCUUCGAUCAAAUAAGAGACCCGGACCUUUACUCAUGGAAGGUGAUGAUCAGAUGGUAUUUCUUGAAUGAUUCCUACCCCGAACUUAUUCAGCUUUAUACCCAUAUGAGACAAUUCCUCAAAGAGCAUGACAACAUUGUUUUUAGUGUUGUGUUGAAGGCUUGCAGUGAAGUGCAUGAUCUGGAUGAAGGGAGAAAGCUCCAUUGCCAGAUUGUUAAAUUUGGGAAUCCUGAUAGUUUUGUAUUGACGGGUUUGGUGGAUAUGUAUGCAAAGUGUGGAGAAAUCGAAUGUUCUUGUACCGCGUUUGAAGAAAUUCAUGAUAGAAAUGUUGUUUCUUGGACUUCAAUGAUUGUGGGAUAUGUACAGAAUGAUUGCCCUGAAGAAGCGCUAGUGUUAUUUAAUCGCAUGAGACAAGGGAUGAUUGAUGGUAACCAAGUCACCAUGGGAAGCUUGCUUACGGCAUGCACAAAGCUAGGUGCUCUGAAUCAGGGGAAAUGGGUCCACGGAUUCAUAAUAAAGGAAGGUAUUAUUAUGAACUCAUUCUUAAUAACUGCCCUGUUGAAUAUGUAUGCGAAAUGCGGGACGAUCACUGAUGCACGUGCAACAUUUGAUGAGCUGCCAAUAGUUGAUCUUGUCUCAUGGACAACAAUGAUUGUUGGAUACACUCAGAGAAACUACCCGGAUGAGGCAUUAAGGCUAUAUACAGACAAGAAAUGGGCUAGUCUCUUGCCCAAUUCUGUUACUAUUGCAAGUGUUCUUUCUGCAUGUGGACAGUCAGGUAAUUCAAAUUUGGGAAAGUCAGUUCAUGGGAUCGGGAUUAAACUAGGAUUAGAAGAUGGCACUGUGCGGAAUGGUCUUAUUGAUAUGUAUGCAAAAUGCAAUAUGAUUGGAGAUGCUCAUUACAUAUUCCUGACAGUUGCAGACAACGAUCUGAUUGCUUGGAAUUCAAUGAUUACUGGGUUGGCACAGAAUGGGUCUGCUGAUGAAGCCAUGACACUUUUUCACCAGAUGAGAUUGGAUUUCAUUGCACCUGAUGCAAUCACAGUUGUUGGUGCCCUCUCUGCUUGUGCUUGCAUAGGUGCGCUGCGUUUAGGUUGCUCAUUACAUGCAUAUAUUAUAAGAGAAGGCUUUUUAUCAUCCAAUGUACGUCUUGGCACUGCCCUUCUCAACUUCUAUGCUAAAUGUGGAGAUGCAGGAUCCGCUCGCAAAGUUUUUGACAGUAUGGAAGAGAAGAAUACAGUGACUUGGAGUGCGAUGAUGGGUGGAUAUGGCAUGCUUGGGGAUGCCAGUGAGUCCCUUGUACUAUUUGCUGAGAUGUUGAAUGAAAAUGUGGAGCCCAACGAAGUGAUCUUUACAAGCAUUUUAUCUGCUUGUGGGCAUACAGGGAUGGUUGGGGAAGGGUGGAGAUAUUUCAAUUCUAUGUGUCGAGAGUAUCAGUUUGUGCCUUCCAUGAAGCAUUAUGUUUGCAUGGUUGAUCUACUGGCUCGUGCUGGCAGGCUAGAAGAAGCCUUGGCAUUUAUAGAGACAAUGCCAGUUCAACCAGAUGUGAGUGUUUUUGGAGCUUUUCUCCAUGGAUGUAGACUCCAUUCAAGGUUGGAUCUUGGAGAGUUGGGAGUGAAGAAGAUGCUCGAGUUGCAACCUGAUAGUGCAGGGUAUUAUGUGCUUAUUUCCAAUUUCUAUGCUUCAGAUGGAAUGUGGGACAAGGCCAGUGAGGUGAGGGAGUUUAUGAGACAUAGAGGAUUGAGCAAGUCACCAGGGUGUAGCCUAGUGGAAAUGGACAAUAGCAACCAUUUCUCUGCCUUGAGAGUGGCAUCUCUCUCAUAGUAAGUGCAUGAAGUGCACAGUUGAGCGUAUCAUAGUUAUGAGAGCUUUGAUGAGGUGGAAAGAUCCCUGCUUUAAGUCUGUGGCUGCCUUGAGAUCCUUGAGGAAAAUUUGGAGGGGUGAUAAUUGAACUACUUGCAUGCUUCCAUGAAGGACAGAUGAUUAAGUCACCAUGAUUUAGCCUCCUGGAAAUGGAUGAGUAUGACAGCAACCAGUUCUCUGCUUUGAAAAUGUCAUCUCUUCUAUAACUAAAUGAUUUGAGUGCAUAUGGAGAGGAUCACUGUUAUAAGAGCUGAGAUGAGGUAAAAUGGCCCCUGACUUGUGUUUUUGGCUUCCAUAAGAUGAUAAUUGACUCUAAUCAGGAGGCUGAUGAUGAACGGGUGCCUCCUUUGCCAUGGACAUGCUUCAGAAUUUAGACUGCAUUCAAGGGGUGUAUCCAUAUUUGGCAUGUGUAAUGUUCGUGGAGUCGUGAGGAUAAUAUUCAUGAGAAGGGAUAAUGGUUCUUGAGGCUGCAAAUUUGUAGCCAAAAUGAGUGGUACUUCAUGGUAGUCCAGAUGGGUCAUUGUCUGUUGUAUCUAUGUUUGCUGCAGACAUGCUUCAGACCGCCCUUCGCGGUUGUCUCCUCUACAAAUCACGUACAGAAAUUGGGUUGAUGCCUUAUCAGCCUCCUUUGGGGGUUCUAUGUAAGUGGAUGGUGUCAUCGGACUAGAACCGUGCAGGAUGAAAUUGACACACCUCGGUUUAUGAGCAUGAAGUGAGAAUACAUGCUAACACAGCUCACUGGUGGAAGAUCAAUUAUUGUUGGUCUUUUGUAUGUAUGCAAAAUGCCAUAUGAUUGGAGAUGCUCAUCACAUAUUCCUGACAGUUUCAGACAAGGAAAUGUUUGCUUGGAGUUCAGUGAUUACUGGGUAUGCCUGGAACGGGCCUACUCAUAUCGCAUAUGAUGCAAUACAGUAGUUGGACUACUCCCCAUAUCUUUGGUAAACAACAAGGAAGAUAUCCAAGUCAGUUACUGCUUUAUCUAGCGGCUGGCCAGAACUUGUAGAUCCAUACAGUUACAAAUUUGAAUGCUUAGCAUUCUCCAUUCCCAGCUGCAGAAUGUACUGAGUUUUUCUAUAAGAGUAACAGCUGACUACUACUUUAAGACACUGAACAAACAUGAGGAAGAAGUUUCAGUGUCAAAUCUUGCUGCGGAAAUUGGUGAUGAAUUUGGAUUCUAUGAUUCCAAACGUGUUCGAAUUCAUUGGAAUUUAACAUCAAUAAGACACUGUAC